GAUGAAGAACGUAGCGAAACGCGAUAGUUAAUGUGAAUUGCAGAAUUCAGUGAAUCAUCGAAUCUUUGAACGCACAUUGCGCCCGCCAGUAUUCUGGCGGGCAUGCCUGUUCGAGCGUCAUUACAACCCUCAGGCCCCCGGGCCUGGCGUUGGGGAUCGGCGGAAGCCCCCUGUGGGCACACGCCGUCCCUCAAAUACAGUGGCGGUCCCGCCGCAGCUUCCAUUGCGUAGUAGCUAACACCUCGCAACUGGAGAGCGGCGCGGCCAUGCCGUAAAACACCCAACUUCUGAAUGUUGACCUCGAAUCAGGUAGGAAUACCCGCUGAACUUAAGCAUAUCAAUAAGCGGAGGA
Molecule: unclassified non-coding RNA, 352 nt
Filed under: soil metagenome
Description: partial contains 5.8S ribosomal RNA, internal transcribed spacer 2, and large subunit ribosomal RNA
Rfam family: 5.8S ribosomal RNA (bases 1-120)
Source: RNAcentral